RNAcentral lists this ribosomal RNA (487 nucleotides) under uncultured bacterium. RNAcentral's name for it is "partial 16S ribosomal RNA". It matches the Rfam family "Bacterial small subunit ribosomal RNA", at positions 28 to 507 of the family's 1533-position model. The record is from RNAcentral.
GAUGAACGCUAGCGAUGGGCUUAACACAUGCAAGUCGAGGGGCAGCACAAGGUAGCUUGCUAUCUGGGUGGCGACCGGCGCACGGGUGCGUAACGCGUAUGCAACUUGCCCUAUACAGGAGGAUAACCCGUCGAAAGACGGACUAAUACUGCGUAUGCUCACAACUUGGCAUCAAGUGGUGAGGAAAGAAAUUCGGUAUAGGAUAGGCAUGCGUCCCAUUAGCUUGUUGGUGAGGUAACGGCUCACCAAGGCAACGAUGGGUAGGGGAACUGAGAGGUUUAUCCCCCACACUGGUACUGAGACACGGACCAGACUCCUACGGGAGGCAGCAGUGAGGAAUAUUGGUCAAUGGGCGCGAGCCUGAACCAGCCAAGUCGCGUGAAGGAUGACUGUCUUAUGGAUUGUAAACUUCUUUUAUACGGGAAUAACAAGAGUCACGUGUGACUCCCUGCAUGUACCGUAUGAAUAAGCAUCGGCUAACUCCGUG